This 82-nucleotide ribosomal RNA is filed under the name Actinomycetota bacterium. The record is from RNAcentral. Lineage: Bacteria; Bacillati; Actinomycetota.
CAUUCCGAACCCGGAAGUUAAGCCUCACAGCGUCGAUGGUACUGCACGGGUGACUUUGUGGGAGAGUAGAACGUUGCCGGAC